This 647-nucleotide unclassified non-coding RNA is filed under the name Hevea brasiliensis (rubber tree). The record is from RNAcentral. Lineage: Eukaryota; Viridiplantae; Streptophyta; Magnoliopsida; Malpighiales; Euphorbiaceae.
AAGGUCAUUUGCAUCAAUUGACCAAUUCUCAACUUUUUCUCCAAUUUUUCAAAAUGCUAAAAACCCUAGUUACACAUUUGUGUAAUUCAAUGCAAUCAAACACAUCAAAAUCAUUCAUUUAAAGCCUAACAUAAGCUAGCCGAAAUUUCUUUUGGUCCCCCAACAAUUGUUUUCUUUUGAUUUUAAGUUAAUUUCUAAGUUACUUACACCAAGAACACAAAUAAUAAACUUGAAUUUUCAAUUUAACUCACUAACCUUUCUUUGAUGUUCAACUCUUCAAUUUCCCUCCUUGUUUCUUCUUUCUUUCUUGCCCAAUCACCUUCUCAAGUGAGUUUAUAAAGUUUUAAUGGAUUAAUUUGGGGUCAAAGUAGGUUUUAGUGGUUGGAAUCAAGCUUGGAUUCAAGCUUUCAUGGUGGUUCUUCAAUGGUGGAAAGAGAGAGAGAGAGGAAGGGCGGCCAACUAGGGAAGAAGAAGAGUGAUUUUUUUCUUUUCUUUUUUGUUAUUUUAUAUGUAAUUAACUUUAAUUAACUUGGUCAAAGAUUGUGGGAAAAUUAAAUUGGAUUUUGACAUCACCCAUGAUGUCAUCCAAGUGAUAUAAGCAUGAUGUAAUAAACUUUUUCAAUUUUCUUUUUCUUUUGCAUUUAUUU